Long non-coding RNA from Pygocentrus nattereri (red-bellied piranha), 468 nucleotides. RefSeq lists it as uncharacterized. The transcript is spliced from 4 exons. Lineage: Eukaryota; Metazoa; Chordata; Actinopteri; Characiformes; Serrasalmidae. The record is from RefSeq and is a predicted model, not a curated record.
GGAGGAGUGUGUUGAUGAUGAUGACCCCCGCCCGAGCACGUGGGUGACAGAGUAGAUAAAGCGCGUGCACAGGGGCUGCGGCUUUCUUUCAGCAGGAGGAUGUGGGCUCGUGAGGACGCCGCGACACGACAGAACAUCAGAGGAGCUGCAGCCUCAGCCUGGAGGACCAGCGAGCUGAGCCGCCGCUGCGGUCGACUGUCUAAAGGAGACCACCUGGGACCACUCUGGGGUGUGAACUGAAGAGUUUUGUGACACUUUUUUCUUCAGUGCCUUACAGGUGGGCAGUUUGACCAUCGCAUCAUUGCAUUAAAGAUUUAAUUGUGCUUAAUUCUGUUAUGAUGUAAAACCAAGCGGUUUGGUGUGAAACAUCCAGACGUCUUUACAGUGGUGGUGAUGGGAACCAGGCGUCGCCAUGACUACAACACAGAUAUAGACACUUUAUUUACCAUCCAGAACCUCCAGAGAACC